This 440-nucleotide ribosomal RNA is filed under the name uncultured bacterium. RNAcentral's name for it is "partial 16S ribosomal RNA". It matches the Rfam family "Bacterial small subunit ribosomal RNA", at positions 338 to 795 of the family's 1533-position model. The record is from RNAcentral.
CCUACGGGGGGCAGCAGUGGGGGAUAUUGCACAAUGGGGGAAACCCUGAUGCAGCGACGCCGCGUGUGGGAAGACGGUCCUCUGGAUUGUAAACCACUGUCGCCAGGGACGAAGAUGACGGUACCUGGGGAGGAAGCUCCGGCUAACGACGUGCCAGCAGCCGCGGUAAUACGUAGGGAGCGAGCGUUGUCCGGAAUUACUGGGUGAAAGGGGAGCGUAGGCGGGACUGCAAGUUGGGUGUCAAAUCUACCGGCUCAACCGGUAGCCGCACUGAAAACUGCAGUUCUUGAGUGAAGUAGAGGCAGGCGGAAUUCCUAGUGUAGCGGUGAAAUGCGUAGAUAUUAGGAGGAACACCAGUGGCGAAGGCGGCCUGCUGGGCUUUUACUGACGCUGAGGCUCGAAAGUGUGGGGAGCAAACAGGAUUAGAUACCCUGGUAGUC